RNAcentral lists this ribosomal RNA (99 nucleotides) under Anaerotignum sp. RNAcentral's name for it is "partial 23S ribosomal RNA". It matches the Rfam family "Bacterial large subunit ribosomal RNA", at positions 1 to 99 of the family's 2925-position model. Lineage: Bacteria; Bacillati; Bacillota; Clostridia; Lachnospirales; Anaerotignaceae. The record is from RNAcentral.
GGUCAAGCAAGAAAGAGCAUAAGGUGAAUGCCUUGGCACUAGGAGCCGAUGAAAGACGUGGUAAGCUGCGAUAAGCUUCGGGGAGGCGCAAACAGCCAU